UCGAGCACAAGUAUCCAAUAGAUACGUACAAACGGCAGAACAAACCCAACAAACAGAGAAGGAAGCAACAACGACAGAAAAUAAAUAUAAAAUAAAGCAAAAUAAACCGCAGAACGAAGCGCGAAACGGCAGCGAACAAAAUAAGCGACGGCAGCAGUUUGUCACUCAAUCGCCCAGACAUCAGUCGCGUUUUCGGAUCGACAGAAACGGAGGAAACAGAAAAAAAAAACUACCGAAAUUCUCUCUCCGGGUAUCUAACAGAUACUCUUAAAUCGGAGACGUGCCACCGCCAUCGCCGGCUGUAAUCGGAGAAUUCUGUAAACCGAUUUGCGAGACAUUUGCCGCGCACGCGCUUCUCGAGAGUUAAAGUUCAAGACGUGCGCCGAUCCGUGCCAGGUAUCUCUCAGAUACGGAGAUACUCGCACUCCGCGACUGCACCAAAAGCAUACGUGUACGUGUCGCCUUUUGGAGCAAAACGGGUCAUGUCUGGCCCAUUAGCGCCGGGGCCGGGGAUGUGCAACAAAUUGAAAGUAAAUAAAAACCCGAAAGAAGACAGGAAAAAAGUAAUGAUACCUAAUAAUAAAAAAAAUAUUGGCGUUAUUACAAAAUGGCAAACUGCAAAUGCAAAUGGGAGUACGAUUGCACCUCCCCGUAGAAUAUGGCAAAUUAAUUAGUUAUACGAAAAUGGCAGGACCAUAAAAACGCCGUGCAAAUCGCUUGCAAAAAAAGAAGAGUGAAAAUAUCAAAUGGCUUUUGUGUGUGGAUUGCAAAUAAAAUUCAAAUUAUCCACAAGUGAAUAAUUGUGGCAUUUUAAUGGCCCUUGCCCCGCGCAUCACGCACCCCGCCCUC
Drosophila persimilis is the source of this 849-nucleotide long non-coding RNA. RefSeq lists it as uncharacterized. Lineage: Eukaryota; Metazoa; Arthropoda; Insecta; Diptera; Drosophilidae. The record is from RefSeq and is a predicted model, not a curated record. The transcript has 3 exons.